UACGUAGGGUGCAAGCGUUAAUCGGAAUUACUGGGCGUAAAGCGUGCGCAGGCGGUGAUGUAAGACAGAUGUGAAAUCCCCGGGCUCAACCUGGGAAUGGCGAUGGAAACUGGCGGGCUGGAGUAUGGCAGAGGGGGGUGGAAUUCCGCGUGUAGCAGUGAAAUGCGUAGAGAUGCGGAGGAACACCGAUGGCGAAGGCAGCCCCCUGGGCCAAUACUGACGCUCAGGCACGAAAGCGUGGGGAGCGAUCCGG
RNAcentral lists this ribosomal RNA (253 nucleotides) under uncultured bacterium. RNAcentral describes it as "partial 16S ribosomal RNA". It matches the Rfam family "Bacterial small subunit ribosomal RNA", at positions 524 to 776 of the family's 1533-position model. The record is from RNAcentral.